GCUUGUCUCAAAGAUUAAGCCAUGCAUGUCUAAGUAUAAGCAAUUUGUACUGUGAAACUGCGAAUGGCUCAUUAAAUCAGUUAUAGUUUAUUUGAUCUUACCUUACUACUUGGAUAACCGUGGUAAUUCUAGAGCUAAUACAUGCAAAAAUGGGCGACUUUGUGGAAGGGUUGUGUUUAUUAGUUACAGAACCAACCCAGGCUCUGCCUGGUCUUGUGGUGAUUCAUAAUAACCGAACGAAUCGUAUGGCAUCAGCUGGCGAUGAAUCAUUCAAGUUUCUGACCUAUCAGCUUCCGACGGUAGGGUAUUGGCCUACCGUGGCAAUGACGGGUAACGGAGAAUUAGGGUUCGAUUCCGGAGAGGGAGCCUGAGAAACGGCUACCACAUCUAAGGAAGGCAGCAGG
RNAcentral lists this ribosomal RNA (404 nucleotides) under Azadinium dalianense. RNAcentral's name for it is "partial small subunit ribosomal RNA". It matches the Rfam family "Eukaryotic small subunit ribosomal RNA", at positions 30 to 432 of the family's 1831-position model. Lineage: Eukaryota; Dinophyceae; Gonyaulacales; Amphidomataceae. The record is from RNAcentral.